AUUGAACGCUGGCGGCAGGCUUAACACAUGCAAGUCGAGCGGGGUGAUGGUGCUUGCACUAUCACUUAGCGGCGGACGGGUGAGUAAUGCUUAGGAAUCUGCCUAUUAGUGGGGGACAACAUCUCGAAAGGGAUGCUAAUACCGCAUACGUCCUACGGGAGAAAGCAGGGGAUCACUUGUGACCUUGCGCUAAUAGAUGAGCCUAAGUCGGAUUAGCUAGUUGGUGGGGUAAAGGCCUACAAAGGCGACGAUCUGUAGCGGGUCUGAGAGGAUGAUCCGCCACACUGGGACUGAGACACGGCCCAGACUCCUACGGGAGGCAGCAGUGGGGAAUAUUGGACAAUGGGGGGAACCCUGAUCCAGCCAUGCCGCGUGUGUGAAGAAGGCCUUAUGGUUGUAAAGCACUUUAAGCGAGGAGGAGGCCCUUUUGGUUAAUACCCAAGAUGAGUGGACGUUACUCGCAGAAUAAGCACCGGCUAACUCUGUGCCAGCAGCCGCGGUAA
RNAcentral lists this ribosomal RNA (503 nucleotides) under uncultured bacterium. RNAcentral's name for it is "partial 16S ribosomal RNA". It matches the Rfam family "Bacterial small subunit ribosomal RNA", at positions 30 to 523 of the family's 1533-position model. The record is from RNAcentral.